UUUAUUGCUAUCAACGAUUCUUCUUUUGCUGGUAAUUUCAUAUACUGAAGCCAAAUCUAGAAGAUCUUCAAAACCUAAUUGCAAUACAUGCAAAUGUUUUUGUGCGAGAUAUGCUAAGCGUGUGAGAAAACACGGAUGUGAUAAGCUCGUGAGGAAGUCGAAAGUCGAACUUUGUUGGAAUUGCAACAGUUGUCAGAACGACAAUGGGCAAAGAUCAAAUAGUGUCCUCGGGGGCUAAGUAUACAAAACACACACGAAAUGAAGCAAGAAACAACAGACUAGAAGUGCUUGAUAAACAAAUCCAGAGUGUCGGAGCUUUGAAUUAUUUUCAUGUUUAAGCUAAAGGCACAACGUGUAAUAUUUAAUAAAAUGGAGCUUAGAUA
Styela clava is the source of this 383-nucleotide long non-coding RNA. RefSeq lists it as uncharacterized. NCBI's taxonomy places the organism in Eukaryota, Metazoa, Chordata, Ascidiacea, Stolidobranchia, Styelidae. The record is from RefSeq and is a predicted model, not a curated record.